RNAcentral lists this ribosomal RNA (411 nucleotides) under uncultured bacterium. Its description in RNAcentral is "bacterial SSU rRNA". It matches the Rfam family "Bacterial small subunit ribosomal RNA", at positions 355 to 762 of the family's 1533-position model. The record is from RNAcentral.
UAAGGGAUAUUGGUCAAUGGGGCGGGAGCCUGAACCAGCCAUGCCGCGUGAGGGAAUGAGGCCCUACGGGUCGUAAACCUCUUUUGCCGGGGGAUAACGGGCGCCACGUGUGGCGCCGUGAAGGUACCCGGAGAAUAAGCAUCGGCUAACUCCGUGCCAGCAGCCGCGGUAAUACGGAGGAUGCGAGCGUUAUCCGGAUUUAUUGGGUUUAAAGGGUGCGCAGGCGGGCGUCUAAGUCAGCGGUGAAAGUUCCCGGCUCAACCGGGUCAGUGCCGAUGAUACUGGGGGUCUUGAAUGCGGUCGAGGCCGGCGGAAUGUGGCGUGUAGCGGUGAAAUGCAUAGAUAUCACACAGAACACCGAUUGCGAAGGCAUCUCACGAAUCCGCAAUUGACGCUGAGGCACGAAAGUGU